This 425-nucleotide ribosomal RNA is filed under the name uncultured bacterium. Its description in RNAcentral is "partial 16S ribosomal RNA". It matches the Rfam family "Bacterial small subunit ribosomal RNA", at positions 354 to 796 of the family's 1533-position model. The record is from RNAcentral.
GUGGGGAAUCUUGCGCAAUGGGCGAAAGCCUGACGCAGCCAUGCCGCGUGAAUGAUGAAGGUCUUAGGAUUGUAAAAUUCUUUCACCGGGGACGAUAAUGACGGUACCCGGAGAAGAAGCCCCGGCUAACUUCGUGCCAGCAGCCGCGGUAAUACGAAGGGGGCUAGCGUUGCUCGGAAUUACUGGGCGUAAAGGGCGCGUAGGCGGACAGUUUAGUCAGAGGUGAAAGCCCAGGGCUCAACCUUGGAAUUGCCUUUGAUACUGGCUGUCUUGAGUACGGGAGAGGUGAGUGGAACUCCGAGUGUAGAGGUGAAAUUCGUAGAUAUUCGGAAGAACACCAGUGGCGAAGGCGACUCACUGGCCCGUUACUGACGCUGAGGCGCGAAAGCGUGGGGAGCAAACAGGAUUAGAAACCCCGAUAGUCC